RNAcentral lists this long non-coding RNA (199 nucleotides) under Carica papaya (papaya). RNAcentral describes it as "long non-coding RNA (CPAP_LNC008086)". Lineage: Eukaryota; Viridiplantae; Streptophyta; Magnoliopsida; Brassicales; Caricaceae. The record is from RNAcentral.
AAAUUAAUUUUAAUUAUUCAAGAAAAGACAAAAACCGUAACUCUUCUUUUCUAUUUUGUUUCUUUGCAACCGACACCCACAAGACCAACAACUCACUCACCAGUAAUCACACACCAGUGCAUGAUUCCCUCUUACAGUUUUACGAAUAUCAAACACUAUUGUUGGACCCAACCAUUCAGUCAGCAUUUCAUUGCCAUCU